This 253-nucleotide ribosomal RNA is filed under the name uncultured Coprococcus sp. RNAcentral's name for it is "partial 16S ribosomal RNA". It matches the Rfam family "Bacterial small subunit ribosomal RNA", at positions 524 to 776 of the family's 1533-position model. The record is from RNAcentral. Lineage: Bacteria; Bacillati; Bacillota; Clostridia; Lachnospirales; Lachnospiraceae.
UACGUAGGGGGCAAGCGUUAUCCGGAUUUACUGGGUGUAAAGGGAGCGUAGGCGGCGAUGCAAGUCAGAAGUGAAAGCCCGGGGCUCAACUCCGGGACUGCUUUUGAAACUGUGUUGCUAGAUUGCAGGAGAGGUAAGUGGAAUUCCUAGUGUAGCGGUGAAAUGCGUAGAUAUUAGGAGGAACACCAGUGGCGAAGGCAGCAUACCGGCGCGCAACUGACGCUCAUGCACGAAAGCGUGGGUAUCGAACAGG